RNAcentral lists this long non-coding RNA (214 nucleotides) under Elaeis guineensis (African oil palm). RNAcentral's name for it is "long non-coding RNA (EGUI_LNC026507)". The record is from RNAcentral. Lineage: Eukaryota; Viridiplantae; Streptophyta; Magnoliopsida; Arecales; Arecaceae.
ACCUCUAAGAUAUGAUAUAGAGUAGAAGAGAAAGAAUUAGCCUAUCCUUGCCAACUUUUCCCACUCUUAUUAUUGUCCGAUAGUUAGCAAUCACACGCUAUAUCAAACAGGACAAAGAAAAGAGUAGCAAACCUAAUUGGCUUGGUGGCUAUUGCCCGUAAGUUACGCUAUCAUAUUAGACUUUUAUAGCAAAGGCUUCAUGCUUCAUGACACU